RNAcentral lists this ribosomal RNA (592 nucleotides) under Ancyronyx pulcherrimus. RNAcentral's name for it is "SSU rRNA". It matches the Rfam family "Eukaryotic small subunit ribosomal RNA", at positions 32 to 602 of the family's 1831-position model. Lineage: Eukaryota; Metazoa; Arthropoda; Insecta; Coleoptera; Elmidae. The record is from RNAcentral.
UUGUCUCAAAGAUUAAGCCAUGCAUGUCUCAGUACAAGCCAAAUUAAGGUGAAACCGCGAAAGGCUCAUUAAAUCAGUUAUGGUUCCUUAGAUCGUACACACAUUUACUUGGAUAACUGUGGUAAUUCUAGAGCUAAUACAUGCAAACAGAGCUCCGACCGGAGACGGAAGGAGCGCUUUUAUUAGAUCAAAACUAAUCGGCGGCGGGUUCGCCCGUUCGUCGUACAACUUGGUGAAUCUGAAUAACUUUCUGCUGAUCGCAUGGUCUCGCACCGGCGACGCAUCUUUCAAAUGUCUGCCUUAUCAACUGUCGAUGGUAGGUUCUGCGCCUACCAUGGUUGUAACGGGUAACGGGGAAUCAGGGUUCGAUUCCGGAGAGGGAGCCUGAGAAACGGCUACCACAUCCAAGGAAGGCAGCAGGCGCGCAAAUUACCCACUCCCGGCACGGGGAGGUAGUGACGAAAAAUAACGAUACGGGACUCAUCCGAGGCCCCGUAAUCGGAAUGAGUACACUCUAAACUCUUUAACGAGGAUCAAUUGGAGGGCAAGUCUGGUGCCAGCAGCCGCGGUAAUUCCAGCUCCAAUAGCGUAU